ACUAUCGAACAAUUGAAACCACAAUUUUGUUUCGCCUGAAUUGGUCGCAGAUUCGCGACAAAACCCAUUCUCUGUCAUCUCCCACAACAACGCCAACAUAUAUAGACAUAUUAUAUAAAGCUAGUCUCCUAUACUAUCGAUAGUACCGGGGCUCCGGUACUAUAGUCCCGUUUUCGAUCUUAGGGUGUUCAAAUCAACGAUCCACACCGUUAAAACUGAUCUAGGGUAUUUAAAGUUUUUAGAAAUAAAAUUUUAUAUUUUUCCGACAUAGUUUACUUUAUGAUCAAACCAUUUCAAAAUUGUCAAUUUUCAAUGGCUAUGGCGAGUUUGGAGUUUAAUGGCGUACAAGAAUCUAAAUUUCUUCAAAUUUUGAUAGAAAAUACUUUAAACUAUCUAGAUUAAGGUUAACAUUCUUGUUCUUGAAUUUAAAAGUCCUAUGCUCAAAUUUUAAAGAUUAUUCAAUUUCCAUCGUCCAUUUUGACAUAAUUUAUUUACUAAGUAAACGAUGUCGAAAAAAACUAAAAUUUUAUUCCUAAGAAUUUCAUAUACCGUAGAUCAUAUUUAACGGUGUGGAUCAUUAAUUUGAACACCCUAAGAUCGAAAACAAGACUAUAGUACCGGAGCUCCGGUACUAUAGAUAGUAUAGUAGCCUAAUUCUAUUAUAUAUAUAUAAAUCUAAUUUAAAUAAGAAUUGAAAUUCAAAUUUGAAUUUUUCUUGAAUUAAAAGUCUCAAAUAUUACAUUACUCUGUUUGAGAAGAAAAUUGCACUAUUUGAGACAAAACUUGCACUUUUUGAGUGAAAGUUGUAUUAUUUGAGCAUCUGAUAGUGGACGACUUUGUGGUCAAUGA
This 849-nucleotide long non-coding RNA is filed under the name Ananas comosus (pineapple). Its description in RNAcentral is "long non-coding RNA (ACOM_LNC002077)". The record is from RNAcentral. Lineage: Eukaryota; Viridiplantae; Streptophyta; Magnoliopsida; Poales; Bromeliaceae.